CUUCGGUCCUGCCAGCCCCGGGCUGCACCCGGCUCCCUGUGCACAGCACCGGCCCGGCAGCUUGGCUGAAGGUGGCAGAGGAGAACCUUUGGAACCACCCUCACCAGAGAUCACAGUGCAAAACCAAGUCUUUAAAGGCUCAAGGUGCCCCAGCAGCAGCACUAACCCACAUGGGCAGCCCCUUGCUUUGCAUCCAGAGGGAUGCUGAUGGGCAGUACCAGUGCCAGGCAGGAAAAAGGAACUUUUGGAUGCUGUGAAGGCAGCAGUGACAGCACCUGGCCGUGUGCAGGCACUGAGCUCACCUGUGCCCACCACGAUGAACCAUUUCCUUCCUGGACACGAGCCCUCCCGGGAUGUCCUGCCUGGGAAAUGAAAUCAGCUCUGAAUGGGAAAUGCAACCCAGCUGGCACAGCCCAGGAAGAAAAAGGGCAGCAAAAGAAAAACAAAUUCAGAAGCUGGAAUGGAAAAACAAAAAAGUUAAAUGCUGUGCGUGCUGCUGUCCCUGUCACUCCCCCAAUCCCACGGCCGUGGUGGGAAGGCUGGCUUGUCCCACCAGGGUGGUGCAGAAAGGGUGAUUUUUCCUUUAGCAGGAUUCCUGCUUCACCACAAUCCUUUUCCUCCAGCCCUGGCUCUGGAGCAGGGAGCAGCUGGGUGCUGAGCCCGCCGCAGCCCAGCCGGGCGAGGGCAGGGAGGCGUGAGCUGAGACGGGGAGCCGAGAGCUUUAUUUUUAGUCCCGGUUUAACAAGUAUUAAUUAAUAAGAGUGCAAAUGCUAAUGCCGAGAUGACACAAACUGCGUUGCCUCAAAAAUGAAUGUUUGGGGCUUGUCUGUGCCAGGAUUUACAGCCGGGUGGGUU
Molecule: long non-coding RNA, 855 nt
Organism: Melospiza melodia melodia
Lineage: Eukaryota; Metazoa; Chordata; Aves; Passeriformes; Passerellidae
Exons: 3
Source: RefSeq, a predicted model, not a curated record